Molecule: ribosomal RNA, 253 nt
Filed under: uncultured bacterium
Lineage: Bacteria
Description: partial 16S ribosomal RNA
Rfam family: Bacterial small subunit ribosomal RNA
Source: RNAcentral
UACGUAGGGUGCAAGCGUUAAUCGGAAUUACUGGGCGUAAAGCGUGCGCAGGCGGUUUUGUAAGUCUGACGUGAAAGCCCCGGGCUCAACCUGGGAAUUGCGAUGGAGACUGCAAGGCUUGAAUCUGGCAGAGGGGGGUAGAAUUCCACGUGUAGCAGUGAAAUGCGUAGAGAUGUGGAGGAACACCGAUGGCGAAGGCAGCCCCCUGGGUCAAGAUUGACGCUCAUGCACGAAAGCAUGGGGAGCGAACAGG